AGAGCAACCCAAGACUGCAAGUUAAGUGGCAAUGAAUGCCGAUUUGUGUUUUUUUGUCCUCGAAGGAGGAGAGUACCCAUGACUAGCUGUGGGUUCCUAAAAACGUGUUGCAAGAAAAAGGAAAAGGGAAACUGUGCAUCGAUACUGGGGAAGUGCCAAAAUACCUCUAAUAACUGUUAUGGACUUGUACACCAAAAAAUGCCAUGUCCCGUUGGACAGCGGUGCUGUGUCGCCACUGUGCACUAGUCAAAGUAGAUAUGCCAUUUUUCAUGAGUUUCAUUUGGGCAGGUUGGUUCAUCGAGUAAUGCCAAUAAAGCUUGCUCUUCAAAGCA
Long non-coding RNA from Rhipicephalus microplus (southern cattle tick), 332 nucleotides. The record is from RefSeq and is a predicted model, not a curated record. NCBI's taxonomy places the organism in Eukaryota, Metazoa, Arthropoda, Arachnida, Ixodida, Ixodidae.